This 432-nucleotide ribosomal RNA is filed under the name uncultured bacterium. RNAcentral describes it as "partial 16S ribosomal RNA". It matches the Rfam family "Bacterial small subunit ribosomal RNA", at positions 29 to 507 of the family's 1533-position model. The record is from RNAcentral.
AACGAACGCUGGCGGCAUGCCUAACACAUGCAAGUCGAACGAGACCUUCGGGUCUAGUGGCGCACGGGUGCGUAACGCGUGGGAACCUGCCCUUAGGUUCGGAAUAACUCCCCGAAAGGGGUGCUAAUACCGGAUAAUGUCUUCGGACCAAAGAUUUAUCGCCUUUGGAUGGGCCCGCGUUGGAUUAGGGAGUUGGUAGGGUAAAAGCCUACCAAGGCGACGAUCCAUAGCGGGUCUGAGAGGAUGAUCAGCCACACUGGGACUGAGACACGGCCCAGACUCCGGCGGGGGGCGGAAGGGGGGAAUAUGAAAAAAGGGGGAAAGACCAAAGCCUUCAGAGCGGGGGGAGUUGUUGAGGGCUUAGGGUGGUAAUGCGUUUUUACCGGGGAUAAUAUGACGGGAACCGGCAAAAAAGGCCCGGCUAACUUCGGG